This is a long non-coding RNA of Coregonus clupeaformis (lake whitefish), 1529 nucleotides long. RefSeq lists it as uncharacterized. The record is from RefSeq and is a predicted model, not a curated record. The transcript has 2 exons. NCBI's taxonomy places the organism in Eukaryota, Metazoa, Chordata, Actinopteri, Salmoniformes, Salmonidae.
ACCCACUAUGUCAUAUAUGACAUAAACCUGUGCUUUAUAAAGGGUGACAUAAGCACUGCUUAAUAAAGGCCUUAUAAGUCAUUUUAAAAUGAGGCUUCUCAAAGCAUUUAUAACCCUGUCAUGCAUCUUGGUAGAGCAUUGCAACGCCAGAAUAGUGGAUUCGAUUCCUAGGACCACCCAUACGUAAAAAUUUAUUAAAUCAUGGCUGUAAGUUGCUUUGGAUAAAAGCGGCUGCUAAAUGUUAUAUAUUAUAUUACUAUUAAACAUUUCUAGGAUGACCCAACUUCUUUCCCUCUUGGGUGCAUAGUCAAUAUUGGACCUGACCUCAACUUUCCCCAAAUUACAUUGGUGAGGCCUUUUAAAAUCUGUUUAAAUGUUUUGCCUUCACCCAAAAUCAAUUUUCUCAGUUUUGUUUCUUAUUUUUUCACUCUUUUUUAAUAGAAAAACAACAUUUCAUUUUCUGUGUUCACAACAAUGCUUAAACCACUUCAGGAGAUGACUUUUGAGGUCUGUGAAAAAUCAAAGAAACUUAGAUGCUUGAGUGUAGUUGCCCUUUAAUUCAGUGUGCAUGCCCUGGCUGUUGUUUGGCUUGAGGGUUUUCUGUAGCACAGUAAUCGCACGUGAUGAUGGAAUGGCUGGAGUAAAAGGCCAGCAACAUUCGUAUUAUUCAGAGCCCCAUGAAAUGACACCAUAUAUACAUUCUACAGACCUUACUGAGAACUCUCUACAAUAAUUUUACUGUGGCACCCAAAACAGUUUUUGCUCUAUAAGCCAAUAUGUAUUACAUAUACAGUGAUUCGCAUUGGGAGCAUUUAUAUGACCUUGGAACAUGUUUUAAAACCCACAUUUAAUGCAAAUGGCACUUGAACAAAUAUGAAUCAUUGUUAAUGUUUAGACAAUUAUUUUUCAUAUCAUUAAUAAAUACAGGUUGUUGACACUUUUAUACUAUUAUGUGGUGGACUUUUAUUUUGGAAAUUUCAGAAAUUCCGUGACCUGGAAGUACUUUUUUAGUGUCGAUGACAAGAUGCUGAUCAUGUGAUGAGUUCGCAAAUCAAAUGCCCAAUUGUGGUGCCACCGGACAGCGAAAAACAAGUUGGAACCAACAUGCAGUACCUCCAGCAGGCAGAGAGGCAAGAACCAUUCGUCCACCAACUCAUGGACAAGCUACACUAUUUACAGCCCUGUGCAAUCUUCAAUGUAAUUGCAUUGCUGGACUUUUUGAAACAAUGUAUUUGUAUUGUUUUAAAAAUGUACAAGUGAAAGGAAAUGUAUGGUUUAAACAUGUCUUUAAUGUUUAUUUGCUUUAGCUGUUAGGGAUAAUUCCCUAAGUGUUAAUACAUUUGUGUUUACAUCAUUUAGCUUUUAUAUAUGUGUUAUGAAUGACCAAAGGUGUCUGACUUUAUAGUAAGUACAGCGUCAUAUGAUACAAUGCAUUUAUGGAUGUGUUAUGAAUGACUGAAGGUGUCUCACUUCAAAUUAAGUAUUACAGGAUACUACAUAAAGUGUCAAUAAAUAGGUUAUUAACGUUC